RNAcentral lists this non-coding RNA (786 nucleotides) under Arria pallida. The record is from RNAcentral. Lineage: Eukaryota; Metazoa; Arthropoda; Insecta; Mantodea; Haaniidae.
AAGUUUUAUUCUUGCUUAUAAUUUUAUUUAUUUUAACAUUAAUUUAUAUGUAAAUUUUUGUAUUUUAAAUUUUCUUAAGGAUUUUUGAAAUUUUAAUUGCAGUGAAUUAUUUUAUUUAUAUUAAAUAAGUUUAGAUUUGGUAAAUGUUAUUUAGGUUUGGUAAAAUCUGUGCCAGCAUCCGCGGUUAUACAGUAAGUUCAAAUAAAUAUUUUUGGUUUUGAAAUAAUAAUUAUUAUUAAUGUAAUUAAUUAAUAUAUUUUAAGGUGAAAUAAUAUAUAAUAUUUUAAUUUAUUAUUAUAAAAGUGAGAAAUAUUAUGAAAUUGAAAACAUAAACUAGGAUUAGAUACCCUAUUAUUUUUAAUGUAAAAAGUGAACUGGAGUAUUAAUAGAUAUAAUCUUGAAACUUAAAGAAUUUGGCGGUAUUAUAAUCUAUUUAGAGGAAUCUGUUAUGUAAUUGAUAAUCCACAUUGAACCUUACUUAUAUAAUUUCUUAUAUAUCGCUGUUUGUGAAUAUAUUUUUAGAUAUAAUUUUCUGGAUAAAAUAUUAAUUAGAAUUUCAAGUCAAGGUGUAGUUAUAUAUAAGUUAAUUAAUGGAUUACAAUAAAGUAAAUUUAUUACGAAUUAUUAUUGAAAUAUAAAUUUGAAGGUGGAUUUAACUGUAAUUUUUUACAGAUUAUAAAAAUGAUAAUAGUUCUAUAAUAUGUACACAUCGCCCGUCACUCUCAUUAUUAAGAUGAGAUAAGUCGUAACAAAGUAGAUGUAUCGGAAGAUGUAUCUAGAAUAAUA